Long non-coding RNA from Arabidopsis thaliana (thale cress), 224 nucleotides. RefSeq annotates it as other RNA. Lineage: Eukaryota; Viridiplantae; Streptophyta; Magnoliopsida; Brassicales; Brassicaceae. The transcript has a single exon. The record is from RefSeq.
UGAGUAUUCCCAAACCACCUGGCUGAAUAAGUAAGAGUUCCUUGGUAUUUGUUAUAAGAAAAUUAAUUGAAAUCAGAUAUAAAAUCUUUGAAUUAUACAAGUAAAUAUCUUGACCUAGUAAAUGUUAAUAGUAGACACACCCCACAAUCAGAGUGACUUAAAGAUGUUUAAGUUUAAUUUGGUCACAAUAUUUUUACAAAAGAUUUUGAUCUGCUUUCUCGGAC